RNAcentral lists this small nuclear RNA (291 nucleotides) under Neotoma lepida (desert woodrat). RNAcentral's name for it is "7SK RNA". It matches the Rfam family "7SK RNA". From Rfam's summary of the family: 7SK was discovered as an abundant small nuclear RNA in the mid-70s but a possible function has only recently been suggested. Two independent studies have found that 7SK RNA binds the CDK9/cyclin T complex (known as elongation factor P-TEFb). The record is from Rfam by way of RNAcentral. Lineage: Eukaryota; Metazoa; Chordata; Mammalia; Rodentia; Cricetidae.
AGACAUCAGAGGGACCUGGCAGUGACAUCUGCCACUGACUGAUCACUCAGGCAGAUCUGAUUGAUCUGGCUGGCUAGGUGGGUGUCUCCUUCCUCUGAUCUUUGCUCCACAUGCACCCCUCCCAGAGUCACACGCUCAGUCAAAGAAGGCAGCCAUCCCUGCUCAGUAUGUGAGUAGCUUCACCCCGCUGCUAGAACCUCCAAAUAUGCUCUUGACAGCCAAUCCUCCCAUUCCACAUUAAGUCAAUUCCCAAGCAUUUUCCAGAUUCUAUGCCCAUCAGCAUUUGUAUCU